RNAcentral lists this long non-coding RNA (214 nucleotides) under Setaria viridis. RNAcentral's name for it is "long non-coding RNA (SVIR_LNC005425)". Lineage: Eukaryota; Viridiplantae; Streptophyta; Magnoliopsida; Poales; Poaceae. The record is from RNAcentral.
GAAUGUAGAUGGAAGGAGAUGCCGGAGAGAAAGAUUGGAGGCUAAGGAAGACGCCGGAGGAAGAAGGAGAUCAGUGCGCCAAAGAAGGAAGAUGUGAGCUCGUGAAAAGAAGUACGGGACGUGCUGAUAUUUAAGGGUGGUCUGAGAAGGGGUAAAAGCGGGAUUUUUACCGUGCCGGCGUUUCGAUUUUUUCGGGAAGAGUGGUUGUCGUGGG